GGGGCACUCAAAAAGUUGACACUGUUUGACAUAGUAGGUUGACAAAUUAUUUACCCAUGAAAUGAAAAAAAUCAAACACAUGUAAAAUGCAUUAAUGAACCAAAAAUUGUCAGUUUUAUUUAUUUUUAGGAAAUGAUUACAUUCAUAUAAUGUCCCCACACCCAUGUAUUUAAAUAUUUGUUUAGUGCAUGUAGGGUCAUAAAGGCCCAUAUGUUACAGACCAGAAAAUAGUAAUAAAAAUGAUAGGCGUUGAUAAUAAAAAUAAAAUAAAGAGGUUAUACACUUAGGCAUGGUUUUGUGUUCAAUGUAUAUUAUAUACUAUUCACUACAUUGAUAAGUAUAUCAUGAUAUCCAUUUUUUCUUCAUAUCCAUGAGCUUAAAUCACAGCCAUAGUCUAUCUAGCCUUAAAGAGUCGGCAAAGAUGAGUUUACAAUAAUACCUGGGGUAGACUGGAUAAUGGUAAGUAAAGACAUAAAUAUAUAUAUACUAUAUAUCUAUAUAUAUAUCUA
Non-coding RNA from Pelobates cultripes (western spadefoot toad), 509 nucleotides. Lineage: Eukaryota; Metazoa; Chordata; Amphibia; Anura; Pelobatidae. The record is from the annotation of a GenBank genome assembly.